AUGGCUCAGGAUGAACGCUGGCGGCGUGCCUAAUACAUGCAAGUCGAGCGAAUGGAUUGAGAGCUUGCUCUCAAGAAGUUAGCGGCGGACGGGUGAGUAACACGUGGGUAACCUGCCCAUAAGACUGGGAUAACUCCGGGAAACCGGGGCUAAUACCGGAUAAUAUUUUGAACUGCAUGGUUCGAAAUUGAAAGGCGGCUUCGGCUGUCACUUAUGGAUGGACCCGCGUCGCAUUAGCUAGUUGGUGAGGUAACGGCUCACCAAGGCAACGAUGCGUAGCCGACCUGAGAGGGUGAUCGGCCACACUGGGACUGAGACACGGCCCAGACUCCUACGGGAGGCAGCAGUAGGGAAUCUUCCGCAAUGGACGAAAGUCUGACGGAGCAACGCCGCGUGAGUGAUGAAGGCUUUCGGGUCGUAAAACUCUGUUGUUAGGGAAGAACAAGUGCUAGUUGAAUAAGCUGGCACCUGACGUACCUA
This 480-nucleotide ribosomal RNA is filed under the name Bacillus sp. (in: firmicutes). RNAcentral's name for it is "bacterial SSU rRNA". It matches the Rfam family "Bacterial small subunit ribosomal RNA", at positions 19 to 481 of the family's 1533-position model. The record is from RNAcentral. Lineage: Bacteria; Bacillati; Bacillota; Bacilli; Caryophanales; Bacillaceae.